AAUCAACGCUGGCGGCGUGCCUCAGACAUGCAAGUCGAACGCGAAAAUUCCCUUCGGGGGAUGAUUAGAGUGGCGUCCGGGUGAGUAACACGUGGGUAAUCUACCUUCGGGUGGGGAAGUAACAGUCGGAAACGACUGCUAAUACCGCAUAAUAGCAGCGGCACCUAAAUGGUGAUAGUUGUUUAAAGACGGGGGAGUCGCAAGACCUCGCGCCUGAAGAGGAGCCCG
This 228-nucleotide ribosomal RNA is filed under the name uncultured bacterium. Its description in RNAcentral is "partial 16S ribosomal RNA". It matches the Rfam family "Bacterial small subunit ribosomal RNA", at positions 32 to 233 of the family's 1533-position model. The record is from RNAcentral.